AAGCUGCUCGAGAAGUGGCGGGAGUGGCGGCUAUGGAAGCGCUGGAGGAGAAAGAGGCGCAGGUUGCUGCCUGGUUGAAAAAAAUAUUUGGAGAUCAUCCCAUUCCACAAUAUGAGGUGAAUCCGCGGACAACGCAGAUUUUGCAUCACCUUUCAGAACGCAACAGGGUCCGGGACAGGGAUGUCUACCUGGUAAUAGAGGACUUGAAACAAAAAGCAAGGGAAUAUGAAUCAGAAGCUAAGCAUCUUCAAGACCUUCUCCUGGAGAGUGUGAAUUUUUCCCCUGCCAAUCUCUCUAGCACUGGUUCCAGGUAUCUGAAUGCUUUGGUUGACAGUGCUGUGGCCCUUGAAACAAAGGAUACCUCACUAGCUAGUUUUAUCCCUGCAGUGAAUGAUUUGACCUCUGAUCUUUUUUGCACCAAAUCCAAAAACGAAGAAAUCAAGCUUGAAUUGGCAAAACUUGAGAAAAAUCUAACUGCAACUUUAGUAUUAGAAAAAUGUCUACAAGAGGAUCUCAAGAAGGCAGAGUUGCAUCUGUCUAUGGAAAGGACCAAAGUUGACAAUCGUCUUCAGAACAUGGACUUCCUAAAAGCCAAGUCAGAGGAGUUCAGGUCUGGAAUUAGAGCUGCAGAGGAGCAACUUUCAGCCAGAGGAAUGGAUGCUUCCCUGUCUCAUCAGUCACUGGUAGCACUUUCAGAGAAAUUGGCAGAACUAAAACGACAGACUAUACCUUUGAAGAAAAAAUUGGAGUCCUAUUUAGAUUUAAUGCCGGUAAUUAUUUUUAUGAAACAAACAAACAAAAAUGUUCCUCUUUUCCACCUUUCCCCAAGGGCACUAAAUGAUCAUGAAAAUACUGGGUCCAUGUUUGAGGAUUUAAAAUCUAUGCUGAGGGACUUCCCUGGUGGUCCAGUGGCUAAGACUCCAUGCUCCCAAUGCAGGGGGCCCGGGUUCGAUCCCUGGUCAGAGAACUAGAUCCCACAAGCCUCAACUAAGAGUUCGCAUUCUGCAACUAAAGAUCCCACAUGCCACAACUAAGACCCGGUGCGGCCAAAUAAAUAUUUAAAAAAUAAAUAAAUAAAGUCUGUGCUGAAUUUUUGUAUUGUAUGUACAUUGGAUAUACUUCUACAACAUUUUUUGCCUUUUGAAAAGGAUUGUUACAUUCUUUUUCCCCUUGCAUCCUAGCUGAGGCAACAUAACCUUUCUUAUUUUAUUUUCCUUUAAAAGAAUCCAUCUCUUGCUCAGGUGAAAAUUGAAGAAGCAAAGCGAGAAUUAGAUACUGUUGAAGCUGAACUUACAAAGAAAGUAAACAUGAUGGAACUGUGACCAGAGCCAAAUAAAUUUCAUCUUAACAAAGUAAACUGAAUAGGACUUUAAAGCAUUAUUUCCUCAUGGCAUUCCUUACACCUUAAUUUCUGUGUUCUUAGAUGAGAUAAUAAUGUCAUUAUUGAUAGAAUAGUGGUUUCUGAUUGUGUAUUAAAUUUUUAUGCUCAAAUACAGUUUUCGUAUGAAAAAACAUUGGUUUUCUAUGCUGUUGGUGGUUAAAUGUCCUUCAGUAGUUCUCUUAGGUGAACUGUGACUGUUGUCCUGCAGUCGCUCACUAGGUCAGCUAAGUGAAAGGGAAAGGUUCUGCAACUUCAGUUAUGU
Molecule: RNA transcript, 1643 nt
Organism: Globicephala melas (long-finned pilot whale)
Lineage: Eukaryota; Metazoa; Chordata; Mammalia; Artiodactyla; Delphinidae
Gene: HAUS1
Gene name: HAUS augmin like complex subunit 1
Source: RefSeq, a predicted model, not a curated record